CCUACGGGUGGCAGCAGUGGGGAAUUUUGGGCAAUGGGCGCAAGCCUGACCCAGCAACGCCGCGUGAAGGAAGAAGGCUUUCGGGUUGUACACUUCUUUUAAGAGGGAAGAGCAGAAGACGGUACCUCUUGAAUAAGCCACGGCUAACUACGUUCCAGCAGCCGCCGUCAUACGUAGGUGGCACUCGUUGUCCGGAUUUACUGGGGGUAACGGGCGUGCAGCCGGGAAGAAAAGUCAGAUGUGAAAUCCCGCGGCUCAACCGCGGAACUGCAUUUGAAACUGUUUUUCUUGAGUACCGGAGAGGUCAUCGGAAUGCCUUGUGUAGCGGUGAAAUGCGUAGAUAUAAGGAAGAACACCAGUGGCGAAGGCGGAUGACUGGACGGCAACUGACGGUGAGGCGCGAAAGCGUGGGGAGCAAACAGGAUUAGAUACCCGUGUAGUC
Molecule: ribosomal RNA, 442 nt
Filed under: uncultured bacterium
Lineage: Bacteria
Description: partial 16S ribosomal RNA
Rfam family: Bacterial small subunit ribosomal RNA
Source: RNAcentral